This 480-nucleotide long non-coding RNA is filed under the name Nicotiana benthamiana. RNAcentral's name for it is "long non-coding RNA (NBEN_LNC021529)". Lineage: Eukaryota; Viridiplantae; Streptophyta; Magnoliopsida; Solanales; Solanaceae. The record is from RNAcentral.
UCACAAUCUAGUCAUAAAACUGAUAGACAAAUAGAAUCUACAUAAACAAUCACAUUUUAUUUCAUGUUCUUCAAUUUCUGCUUCAAACUACACCUCAAUUACAUCCAUAGAGUUGAAUGAUACUUGGAAAUUGAAACAGAAAAGGAAGCAGUGAAAUCACUGGAGUAACAACAGAGAUGAAUCAACAACAACCACUAUCCCAUAUUCAAUGAUUCAACAGUGAAAACAUUUUAGCAAUGCUUUAUAGAUCAGUACACAAGCAAGUAAAGCUUGAUCCAACACUUUCAUGACACGGCUUCGAACCAUUUUAACCCCCAGGACCAGAAAUUUUGAACUUCUAUUGAAUUGAACUAAACCACUAAGAUCAGGGGAACCAGGACUAAGCAAAAUUCACUAAUUUUUAUGAGAAACUUCCAGAAAAUUGGAACUUUGUUCCAGGAUUUAAAGAGAGGCAGCCAUUUUAAAGUUUUUGGUUUUUUC